This 76-nucleotide transfer RNA is filed under the name Cricetulus griseus (Chinese hamster). It matches the Rfam family "tRNA". From Rfam's summary of the family: Transfer RNA (tRNA) molecules are approximately 80 nucleotides in length. Their secondary structure includes four short double-helical elements and three loops (D, anti-codon, and T loops). Further hydrogen bonds mediate the characteristic L-shaped molecular structure. tRNAs have two regions of fundamental functional importance: the anti-codon, which is responsible for specific mRNA codon recognition, and the 3' end, to which the tRNAs corresponding amino acid is attached (by aminoacyl-tRNA synthetases). tRNAs cope with the degeneracy of the genetic code in two manners: having more than one tRNA (with a specific anti-codon) for a particular amino acid; and 'wobble' base-pairing, i.e. permitting non-standard base-pairing at the 3rd anti-codon position. The record is from Rfam by way of RNAcentral. Lineage: Eukaryota; Metazoa; Chordata; Mammalia; Rodentia; Cricetidae.
GGAGAGGUGGCUCAGUGGUUAAGAGCACUGUCCGAGCUCGUCCAAAGGACCUGGGUUCAAUUCCCAGGCAUCUCCU